CUUUUAUCAGGUUACAUCCUUUUCUGCAAUGGAGAAAAAGCACAUGCAUGUUCGCCACAGCAGAGUUUUGAACUCCCGUUAUUUAUCCAACUGCAGAGGUUCAGAGAGGAGCUUCCAUCUGUGUGUUAUUCUGCUUUUUGGAGUGUUCUGCAUCUGCCUCCUCAUUGGACUUCUGAUCGUGAAUAAUCAGUACAAAUAUGACAAAGGGCGAUU
This is a long non-coding RNA of Cyprinodon tularosa, 213 nucleotides long. RefSeq lists it as uncharacterized. The record is from RefSeq and is a predicted model, not a curated record. The transcript has 3 exons. NCBI's taxonomy places the organism in Eukaryota, Metazoa, Chordata, Actinopteri, Cyprinodontiformes, Cyprinodontidae.